This 75-nucleotide transfer RNA is filed under the name Lachnospiraceae bacterium A4. It matches the Rfam family "tRNA". Rfam says of the family: Transfer RNA (tRNA) molecules are approximately 80 nucleotides in length. Their secondary structure includes four short double-helical elements and three loops (D, anti-codon, and T loops). The record is from Rfam by way of RNAcentral. Lineage: Bacteria; Bacillati; Bacillota; Clostridia; Lachnospirales; Lachnospiraceae.
GGAUUUAUAGCUCAGUUGGUAGUAGCAGUUGAUUUUAAAGUCAGUAUGUCUUGGGUUCGAUUCCCAAUAAAUCCA